AUCACUUCUCAGUCUUUUGGUUAAGAUCAAGCAUAGUAUCUGUUCCUAUCAGUUUAAUAUUGGCAUGUCAUCUAUACGAGGACAAUAUAUUAAAUGGAAUUGGGGGGUACUCUAGAGAAUGUAUGGGAUAUCAUUAUUUCACAUAUAGACCUGAU
Molecule: small nuclear RNA, 155 nt
Filed under: Sorex araneus (European shrew)
Lineage: Eukaryota; Metazoa; Chordata; Mammalia; Eulipotyphla; Soricidae
Description: U2 spliceosomal RNA (ENSSARG00000017736.1)
Rfam family: U2 spliceosomal RNA
About the family: U2 is a small nuclear RNA (snRNA) component of the spliceosome (involved in pre-mRNA splicing). Complementary binding between U2 snRNA (in an area lying towards the 5' end but 3' to hairpin I) and the branchpoint sequence (BPS) of the intron results the bulging out of an unpaired adenosine, on the BPS, which initiates a nucleophilic attack at the intronic 5' splice site, thus starting the first of two transesterification reactions that mediate splicing.
Source: RNAcentral